RNAcentral lists this ribosomal RNA (253 nucleotides) under uncultured bacterium. RNAcentral's name for it is "partial 16S ribosomal RNA". It matches the Rfam family "Bacterial small subunit ribosomal RNA", at positions 524 to 776 of the family's 1533-position model. The record is from RNAcentral.
GACGUAGGGGGCGAGCGUUGUCCGGAUUUAUUGGGCGUAAAGCGCGCGUAGGCGGCCGCUCAAGUCGGAUGUGAAAAUCCGGGGCUCAACCCCGGACCUGCAUUCGAUACUGGGCGGCUAGAGGCAGGUAGGGGAGAGCGGAAUUCCGGGUGUAGCGGUGGAAUGCGUAGAGAUCCGGAAGAACACCGGUGGCGAAGGCGGCCUGCUGGGCAGUAGCUGACGCUGAGGCGCGACAGCGUGGGGAGCAAACAGG